RNAcentral lists this ribosomal RNA (435 nucleotides) under uncultured bacterium. RNAcentral's name for it is "bacterial SSU rRNA". It matches the Rfam family "Bacterial small subunit ribosomal RNA", at positions 958 to 1398 of the family's 1533-position model. The record is from RNAcentral.
AACGCGAAGAACCUUACCAAGGUUUGACAUGCAGGGAAAAGCCGUAGAGAUACGGUGUCCGUAAGGGUCCUGCACAGGUGCUGCAUGGCUGUCGUCAGCUCGUGUCGUGAGAUGUUGGGUUAAGUCCCGCAACGAGCGCAACCCUUACCCCCAGUUGCCAUCAUUUAGUUGGGCACUCUGGUGGAACCGCCUCGGAUAACGGGGAGGAAGGUGGGGAUGACGUCAAGUCCUCAUGGCCUUUAUGUCCAGGGCUACACACGUGCUACAAUGGCCGGUACAAACCGUCGCAAACCCGUGAGGGGGAGCUAAUCGGAAAAAGCCGGCCUCAGUUCGGAUCGUAGUCUGCAACUCGACUACGUGAAGCUGGAAUCGCUAGUAAUCGCGGAUCAGAACGCCGCGGUGAAUACGUUCCCGGGCCUUGUACACACCGGAGUA